RNA transcript from Peromyscus californicus insignis, 7919 nucleotides. It is a transcript of the gene named glucosaminyl (N-acetyl) transferase 4, with no coding region annotated. The transcript is spliced from 3 exons. NCBI's taxonomy places the organism in Eukaryota, Metazoa, Chordata, Mammalia, Rodentia, Cricetidae. The record is from RefSeq and is a predicted model, not a curated record.
GCAUGGUCAAAUUCCCAGUGGCCAGCCCCUUAAAGAAAUUUCAGUCCUUUCCCACGCACACCCUGGUCAGAAGUCAUUAAUUGUAAAGAGCUACCCUUCAGCAUCCUUAUCACAAAUUUUAGGAGUUCUUUUAGAUGACUUUCUGUCUAGGCUGUUUUUUUGUUUUUGUUUUUGAUUUUGAGGGGGGUAGGAGUUGCCACAGAAGCCUUCUAAGUCCCUCUUUCUCAACUGUGAGUCUGCAGUCAUCAAUACAAUGCAAAAGUAGCUUCCUUGCCCUUUACAAUCAGAGGGAGUAUGGGUCACAGUCUUCCAUGUGGUCUCAGCAUGUGCCACAGACCCCAGCACGGUCUCCGGUGGCAAUACUGACCACAGACAUCAACACGGCCUCUGCCACAGCACCGGCCAAGAAUGUCAACACGGCUUCUAGGACAACACAAGCCACCGACACCAAUAUGGUCCCAUGGCAGCAGCCCAGCCCACGAACUUCAACAUGGCUUCAGACAGCAGCAAAAACCACGAACAUCCACAUGGCCUUAGGUGGUAACAGAGGCCACAGACAUCGAUUUGACCCCAAUCUGCAACAGGACCACGGACCCCAACAAGGCCCUCAGUGGCAGCAUUGCCCAUGACAUCAACAUGGCUUCAGGUGUUAAAUAGCUUUUUAAAAGGUAUAAUUGGCAGAUAAUAAACUUGACAUGGUUGAAGCAUACAAUUUGAUAAAUGUUGACCUUCCAUAUAAGCAUGAAACCAACACAACAAUAGAGACUGAAAACCCCUCGUCACCCUUUUUAAUGUCCUCCAGGCUCUCCUUUCACUCCUUAGACAGCCAUGAGCCUGCUUUCUGCUUCUGCAGGCAUACCUCAACUUGAACCUGUUGCAAGAUGAUAAUGCAUUUGCUCUCCCUAACCUGCUGAACUUCGCCGCUAGCAAGCAUGCACUGCAGCACCACUUGCCUCCUUGGGAUUGUGUGACUGAGUGACAGUUCAGCUCACUGCUACAGACAGCCAGUUCACACUUUUUUACCACCAUAAAAAUCUAAAGAAAAAAAAUAUACCAAAUCACGGAAAAUAAGGAACCGGGUAUAUGAACAGUUCAUAUUUUCUAGAAUUUUAGGUAAUUGGGAUGAAUAAGAUGUACUCCCGUCUGUCUGUCUGUCUUUUUCACUCAACGUAGUUAAGAUUUAUCCAUGUUGUACUACGUAUCGACGGGUUAUCUUGUAGAACGUUUUGUUCUUUGGCUGUGUUACAAUUUGAUUGUUCACUCACUUAUUGUGGUGGCUUGAAUGAGCAAUGUCCGCAAUCUGCUCAUGUACUUAAACAUUGGCCCCCAGCUGGUGGUACUUUUUGAGGAUCGCCAAUGUAACAUUAAUGACGUGGAGCCUUGAUGGGGGAAAAGGGCACCACUCCACCCCCAUUUCACUCGCUCUGCUUCUGGUUUGCAGAUGAUGAUGUAAUCUCUCAGCUUUCUACUCUGUGGGCUUCAUAGCUCCCGUGACUUACGUCCUUGUCACUGCGGACUCCCCUUCUGGAACCAUCAGCCAAAAUAAACUCUUCCAUAAGUUGCCUUUGGUCAUAGUGUUUUAUCACAGCAACAGAGAGGUAACAAAUGUACUUACUGGAGAGUGUCUGGAGCGUCUUGUUUUUCACUGUUAUAGACGUGGGCAAAAGUCAGUGCACAGAUGUACACCUUUUCUCCUUUUCAAUAUCUAGGAGUGGGAUGACUGGACUACACAGCAGCCCUGAACUGAUUCCCCUGUUUUACAUCCCACCAGCAGUUGCUUUAGAAUUUCAGUUCCACGCCUUUGCCGACACUUUUUCUCUAACCAUUCUAAAGUCAAACAGCAUACUAUGAUCCAUCUGGAAGACUGUCUUCCUGGCCUCUGCGGCUUUGCAAGCAUGCCUUGCCUGUUGGCUGAAGCCCAAGCAGAGCCCUCCACAGAUUUCUGCUGUCCUCUCAGAAUAGCGGCCUCCUCAACGGUGCUUACUCGGCCCUGGAAACUGUCCUUGCUUCCAUCUCUUUAAACUCUGGGUCUCUGAUGAAGAACUUCAGGAAGUCCACUGGGCUCUGUGUGGAUUACCCUUUCUCAUGGCUUGGAAACUAUCAGCCCGUCCGUCAUCCAGGUACCUGUGUGCUGUCACCCGCCCAGCUCUCAAAUGCCGACUCUGAUCACUCCUUCCCCCCUGCAUUUCAUAUUGGAGUGGUAAGUGACAGAUGCAUUCACAUUAGUAGCCUGGUAUUAGCCAAGGAGGGAAUAUUUGAACCCUGAAAAUUAGCCAGCAUUAUACACGCAGAGCUCUCUCUCCGGAGAGCUGGUUGUUAAACAGUUACCAGCCCUUUGCUAUUUAUAGCCAUCACUUUAAAAGGUCACCUAGCAGCCUUUUGGGUAGAUAACACAGUUCCGUUACAUGGUGCUUUUAUCACUGGCCUUUUAGAGACAAGGAAAACAAGCGGAAGGAAGGAACACAGUGGUCCAGUGGACCCACAGCUAGCACAUAAUGCAGCAGCAAGCAGCGGGCUUCCACCGCGUUUUAGCCCCCACAGUGUCCUGAUGCUGCUUUAUCUCGGCUCCAACUAACAACCAGGCAACCACCCUUGGAGCCCAACAUCACUGCAGGUGAACCAUUCAGCUGGUGGGGACACUUGCCAGCCAUCAUUCAUCAUCAGAACGCCUGCCCCCUGGAGCUCAUCCCACACUGGCCAUUUGGGCAUGCAGAAUUUAGGUAUUCACGCAGUUCCGCUGAGCACAUGCAUCGCUCCUUGACCUCUGCUUUGCAGUCUUCAGCUUCCGGUGGAGCCCUUUCAGAGUUGCUGUGGACUUGGGGGAAAUGGUGGCACAUUUCAAGUUGCCGGAAUCACUCUAGCAUUCAGAGUGAACUUUUGUAUUUUAUCAGGGGAAGGACUCUGCGGGUGCUGCCCUCCUCCUCCUCCUCCUGGGGUUUGCGGUGUUUGAAGUUCCUGCCUGGGUUUCGGGAGUGCUUCUAUUUCUGGUGGAGCCGCUGAGUUGCUGCCUAUGAUGGAAGCCAUUUGACCUCGGCAAGGAUUCGUUUGCAGAGAAAAGCAUCUUGAGACCUAAGAGUUCUCAUAGCGCCCGCCCGGAAGCUCCGGCCAGCAGGAUGCUUGGUGUACACUUAGCUGCAAGCCCUGAGCUCUUCUUUCUCCCUGGUGGGGGCGGGGAGCGCCCCUAAACACUCCCCCACGCCCCCCCCCACGCCCCGCUUCUGUGCUUUCAGACAAGCUGUAGAUGCAGUUGUGGGGUGGUUGCUAAGGUGCGCUGGAGUUUAUCAGCUCCGCUUUGGGUCAGCUGCUCACUUUGGCCCAGGAAUAAAUGCUUCACCAAGGACAGAAGAGAAUAAAGCCUUCUAGAAGGAAUGGGGGUUAGAUAACCGUACAACUAAAAUCACCACUGAAAGGAAGUUUAUGUUUCAUACCUGCCAAGUUCUGUAACCCUCCAGGAACUCUAUUUCAUACACGUCUUAGAAACAACUAGAUUCUGUCCAGCUUAGGAUUUCUUUUGAUCUUCCAAAUCCUCUAACUCAUCCAUGUGAUAAGCAGGGAUGCUGGAGGCCUGUCAGCAGAAACCUCUGGCCCUUUUCUGAAGGUGUUUGCCAGUACAGAGAUCUCUGACUGUAUAAAUGUAAGAGAGAAAGGGAGGAGUGGAAAGCAGGGGAUCUUUUUAAAGGUUGAAAGGAAUGCUUCACAGAGGUUCCCAACCCAUAAUCUUUGGUUUUCUUUUCUGUAGUUUCAGUUACAUGUGACCAAAUCUGAUCCGAAAAUACUAAAUGGAAGAUGAAAAACAGUUUAUAAGUUUGAUGUACAUCAGAAGGUCAAUAGCACUCUGUUACAUCUCAAUACCAAAGGCGUUCACCUCAUCACACAAAUGCUGCGUGACAGCACAUCACCACGUGAGCACCGGGUUAGUAGAUACAAAACAGAGCGAGGAGAGAGAAUGUCGCCCACCUUCUAGUGUUAAAACUGUUCUAUUAGCUAUUGUUGUUAAACUUUUGCACAUGUGUAGAAAACAUAUGUUUAAGGAAACCAUAACACAAAUUGGGUAGAUGCUGUCUGUGGUUUCUGGCACCCCCUGGGGUUCAUAGAAUGUAUCUCCCCUAUCUUCCAUUUAGGCUGCCCUUCUCUCCAGGCUCAGUGCUACAGGGAAAUGGAGGAGCUGGAUGCUUCCGCAGUUCCCAUCCCUCCCAGAACUGGCUGUGCAGUGGAGGACUGAGCACAUGUGUCCCUAGAGAGAGAGAUGCUGAGAAGAAAUGUGGGCGAUUUGGAGCUUGACAGGCAGCAGCCUGGGCUCUCGUGUGGCCUCUAGCCAGCGGGAAGGAGAUAAGGAAAAUGAGCUUGCAAAUGAAGGCUCUAUUGCAACUCUCCCUCUCAGCCUUCUGAACUGUUUGUGUCUCUCUAGAGAGGUGCAUUUGCUCUCCUUUUGUGGCCCCACAGGGCUAAUAUCACAUUUAAGCACUUUCUGAGGCUUGUUUUCCAUUCCCAUAUUCUCCCAGGCGGAAGAAACCAAGGAAGACGAGAACUUUGCAUUUUGCCUUUUCUUCUUCAGCGGUGACUUGGAGGCCAACGCCAGGUUCACGUGUACCGCAGUAUUAACAGUCACACUUACCGUCUUGUUCUUCUCACAUGGUCCCAACCACCCCACUCUCUCAAUAUGUCCACCUCACGAUGCUCGUGGGCCGUGAGAUGGCUAACACAUGGUCCGCAUUCCCGAGUCCAGGUCAUCAAUUAAUAACAGGCAGCAGGGCUUGCCCCUUGAUUACAGCCUGGGAUCUCUGGGACUCAGUGAUUUACAUUCACCCUGCCCUCUGCCCUUUAGCUCAUCUGGUUCUGUGUUUAGUGUCAGCAUUUCCACAAAUCCUCUCAAGCAGCCCAUGUGCUCUUGCUAUGUGCGUUUUAAUAAAACUCUGGGUUUUAUAUUUCAAGCCACUGGCUGUCUUCCCCUUCCCUAACACUAUAGUUCCCCCCCACCACCCCGUGGUUUAAUUACAUAGCAAGAUUUUAUCUCAGUUGGAUUAUCUGAGAACCACUGACCCAAGGGGAAUGACCCAUCCUCACUUUUGAACUUAAGGUCAUUUUCAGUCAAAGUUCAAGGCAUAGGAAGCCCAGGCAAAACAUUUCCAUGGAUGCUGGAGUGGGAGGUCCCUGGCAGGAGGGUGAUUCCUUGAGAGAAGGAUGCAUGAUGAGGUUCUGAAGUAUUCAUGGUGCAUUCAGCAUGCCAAGAGUCAAACCAUCGCCAGGCGAUGGUGACACAUGCCUUUAAUCCCAGCACUCGGGAGGCAGAGCCAGGUGGAUCUCUGUGAGUUUGAGGCCAGUCUGGUCUACAGAGCGAGAUCCAGGACAGGCACCAAAACUACAUGGAAAAACCCUGUCUCGGAAAAAAAACCAAAAGAAAAAAAAAGUCAAACCAUCUCCAUGCCUACCCAUGCCAAUUUGCCCUCAUAAAGUUCUGACUAGAUGUAAUGAUUUCUUCUUGAUCCCCUUUGAAAGAGUGGCUGCCGUCACCCUCUGAGGGUGGCUCCUCCUCUUCAUACUGGUUCCUUGUUCUGUCCUCUGAAGGUUCCCUCUACAAGAUUUCAAUUCCUAUCGUGACGAUGAUGCACUUAUGACCUCAACUCUAAAUAUGAAGUCCAUUGAUUUGAUGCAUGGCAGCUCAGCACUACCCCUCCACGUGCUUGGAACACAUUUCAAACUGUCUUUGUAUGGUUCCAUUCUGACCCUUUUACUUUGUACUACUGGCCAAGACCACUAAACUAAUGCUGUGACUUUUACAAGCAGCUCACUGUCACUCAAGACUUGAGAAGCCCCAGUCAGGGGCACACUUGGACUACUGGUUCCCUUUGUUGUUCUCUAUGCUGUCAUCAUUGUCUUCCAGAUCUUAGUCUAGCUUCUCAUGUUUUAGAUUUGUCAUUUAUUUGAAAAUGAAUGAAGCUUGUCAACUAUUUUUAUGUACUUUCAAAAAUCUUUCAAGAGUCCUUGAAAUCCUUCAACCUUUUUUUUUAUCUUUGACAUUUCUUUUCUCUGCCACAAAGUGAUGAACAUAUAAUACAGAUCAACAUAUAAAAAAUGAUUUUUUUUUUUUAGGCAAAGGCACGAAAAUCUCUGAGUUUGAGGCCAGCCUGGUCUACAGAGUUUCAGGAUAGCCAGGGCUACACAGAAAACCCCUGUCUCAAAGAACAACAACAAAAAAAUUUAAAACUUAGAUUUUCUGGGUUUUCUUUUUUGUUAUUAUUUUUGUUUACUUAUUUAUUUUUGAGAUAGGGUCUCAUUGCAUAGCCCUGGCUGGCCUGGAACUUAUUAUGUAGACCAGGCUGGCCUCAAACCCACAGAAACCUACCUACCUCUGCCUUCUGAAAGCUGGGAAUUAAAGGUAUGUGCCGCAAUACCUGGCUAAAGCAUGUAUUUUCUAAUUUUUAUAAAAAAUAAUACAAGGUUUUAAGAUGGCCAUCAUUAUAUUUAAGUGUUGGGGCUAGAGAGAGGGCUCAGUGGUUAAGAACUAUGGUUACUCUUGCAAGGACCCUGGUCCAGUUCCCAUAAGCCACAUGGCAGCUCAUAACUGUAUGUAACCCCCAGUUAUAGGAUGCCCGAUGACCUCUCCUCCCACCCAUGGGCACUGGGCAUGCACAUAGUGUACAUACACACAUGCAGGAAAACACUCACACAUAAAAUAAAAAUAAAUAAAUCUGAAGAAGAAGGAGAAGGAGGAAGAGGAGGAGGAGAAGAAGAAAAGGAAGAAGAGGAAGAAGAAGAAGAAGAGGAGGAGGAGGAGGAGGAGGAAGAACAAAAUGGUAGUAGAAUUGGGCUCAGAAUAUGAAGCCUCACGGUGUGGCACUCUGGCAGGCUGAGCACUUUGGACUGUCGCUGCUUGGGAAGGCCUCACACUGAAUGAUAAAAAGGUGCUGUUCUGGCAUGUCAACAACUUAAGUUGUUAAGUACAUCUGAAACCCAGUAUCUGCAAGAAGAUCAUCUUGAACGUGGUUGCUUCUUAAAAACAACAGAUGGAAUUCCCACGUGAAAGACACUCCCCCUGUUCUAGAAAGAAAAGAAACUUUAAUCUCCAAAGAUAAGAUAUUGAGACCAAGAGAACUGUGUACAGUCCUUGAGAAGAUAGCUGUUACUCUUUCAGCCCUUCCUGUAGCGUGGUGUCUUCUUCACAGCCUACUGCUCUUCGUCCAAUUCAGUGUGCUUACCUGAUUUGAACUGUUUCUGGGGGCCGUUGUUCCUUUCUGAGGACUCCUAUGUCAUGUGUCUUCAUUUCUUCUCUGUUGCUGUGAUAAAAAAAACAAAACAAAACAAAACACCAUGGCCAAAAGCAACUUAUGGAAGAGAUUAUUUUGGUUUAGGUCCCCAAGGGUAAGAGUCCAUCGUGGAGGGAGGGAUAUGACAGCAGCUGCAGGCAGAGCAGCUGGAGCAGCGAGCUGGGAGCUGACAUUCUCACCCACAAGCAUGAAGCCGAGAGAGUGAACUGUAAGCGGCCCAAGGCUUUAACCUGUCAAAGUCCACCUCCAGUGACAUAUUUCAUCCAGCAAGGCUGCACCACCUAAACCUCCCCAAGCAGUAUCACUAGCUGUGAACAGGUGUUCAAAUACAUGAGCAUAUGGGGGACAUUCUAUUCAAACCAUAUUCCACUCCCUGGCCCCCAGGGGCUUGUGGCCAUAUCAUAAUGCAAAACGAAUUUAGUCCAACUUCAAAAGUCUCCCACAGUUCAACACUGAGAGUCCAAAGUUCAGGGAGUUUGAAAGAUAACUCAAUAGUUAAGAGCAUCAGCUGCUUUUCCAGGGGACCUGAGUUCAAUUCCUAGCACCCACACGGCAGCUCACACCUACCUCUGAUUCCAGUUCUGGGGAAGCCAGCACCGUCUUCUGGCCUCCAAAGGCACUGCAUACCUGUGGUACACAGAGGACCGGUGCAAG